GUGUGUGUGUGUGUGUGUGUCAGCUGCUCUGCCCUGCAGUGUGAUCCAAGGUAAUUCUCCUGUGUCAGCUCACGGCACACACUCGCUGCCUGUCUGUGUCCGAUCGCUGUCCGGCCCCUGCAUGCUCUCGUUGCGGUCUGAGAGGGGUCGGGUCACAGCCUGCCACGCCCCGAUCACCGCCGCGCCAAUCCCGCACAGAUAAUCUGCCCGUGCUGCACGCUUUCUGACGCGCCAGCACUGCUCUCUGCGCCGCUGUGAAGAAUACCGCCACCCGCGCUGACGGCCGCCCUCUUUCUGUUUCUGUCUUCCAGGGGGCCCUUCUGUCACAAAUAACCAGGAUGGCGGCCUGCACUACGCCGAUCCGCGGUUCGUUAAGGACGCUGGAUCGGGCGGCGCGGCCCGGUCAGGGCAGGACAACUCCGAGUACGCCCAGAUCGGACUGAACUACGCCACCCACCCGCCCCCCAAACAGGAGCCCACCCUGUA
Molecule: long non-coding RNA, 486 nt
Filed under: Lepisosteus oculatus (spotted gar)
Lineage: Eukaryota; Metazoa; Chordata; Actinopteri; Semionotiformes; Lepisosteidae
Description: lncRNA (ENSLOCG00000023285.1)
Source: RNAcentral